UACGAGUGCUCCAAGCGUUAUCCGGAAUUAUUGGGCGUAAAGGGUGCGUAGGCUGAUCUAUUAGUCUCCUGUUAAAGAUCCGGGCACAACUCGGAAAAAGCAAGAGAAACGGUAGGUCUUGAGUAUGUGAGAGGUAAGCGGAACUUAUGGUGUAGGGGUGAAAUCCGUUGAUAUCAUAAGGAACACCAAAAGCGAAGGCAGCUUACUGGCACAUCACUGACGCUGAGGCACGAAAGCGUGGGUAGCGAAUGGG
This 253-nucleotide ribosomal RNA is filed under the name uncultured bacterium. RNAcentral's name for it is "partial 16S ribosomal RNA". It matches the Rfam family "Bacterial small subunit ribosomal RNA", at positions 524 to 776 of the family's 1533-position model. The record is from RNAcentral.